RNAcentral lists this unclassified non-coding RNA (1073 nucleotides) under leaf metagenome. RNAcentral's name for it is "partial contains internal transcribed spacer 1, 5.8S ribosomal RNA, internal transcribed spacer 2, and large subunit ribosomal RNA". The stretch from base 496 to 1073 matches the Rfam family "Eukaryotic large subunit ribosomal RNA", at positions 1 to 591 of the family's 3401-position model. The record is from RNAcentral.
AUUGCUGGAACGCGCCCUAGGCGCACCCAGAAACCCUUUGUGAACUUAUACCUUACUGUUGCCUCGGCGCAUGCUGGCCCCCUCGGGGUCCCCUGGAGACAGGGAGCAGGCACGCCGGCGGCCAAGUUAACUCUUGUUUUUACACUGAAACUCUGAGAAAAAAAACACAAAUGAAUCAAAACUUUCAACAACGGAUCUCUUGGUUCUGGCAUCGAUGAAGAACGCAGCGAAAUGCGAUAAGUAAUGUGAAUUGCAGAAUUCAGUGAAUCAUCGAAUCUUUGAACGCACAUUGCGCCCUCUGGUAUUCCGGAGGGCAUGCCUGUUCGAGCGUCAUUUCAACCCUCAAGCAUUGCUUGGUGUUGGGGCACUGCUUUUUACCAAGCAGGCCCUGAAAUCUAGUGGCGAGCUCGCCAGGACCCCGAGCGCAGUAGUUAAACCCUCGCUCUGGAAGGCCCUGGCGGUGCCCUGCCGUUAAACCCCCAACUUCUGAAAAUUUGACCUCGGAUCAGGUAGGAAUACCCGCUGAACUUAAGCAUAUCAAUAAGCGGAGGAAAAGAAACCAACAGGGAUUGCCCUAGUAACGGCGAGUGAAGCGGCAACAGCUCAAAUUUGAAAUCUGGCCUCGGCCCGAGUUGUAAUUUGCAGAGGAUGCUUCUGGCGCGGUGCCUUCCGAGUUCCCUGGAACGGGACGCCACAGAGGGUGAGAGCCCCGUAUGGUCGGACACCAAGCCUGUGUGAAGCUCCUUCGACGAGUCGAGUAGUUUGGGAAUGCUGCUCUAAAUGGGAGGUAAAUCUCUUCUAAAGCUAAAUACCGGCCAGAGACCGAUAGCGCACAAGUAGAGUGAUCGAAAGAUGAAAAGCACCUUGAAAAGGGGGUUAAAUAGUACGUGAAAUUGUUGAAAGGGAAGCACUUGUGACCAGACUUGGGCCGGGCGGCUCAUCAGGGGUUCUCCCCUGUGCACUCCGCCCGGCACAGGCCAGCAUCGGUUCUCGUGGGGGGAUAAGACCGUCAGGAACGUAGCACCCUCCGGGGUGUGUUAUAGCCUGGCGGACGAUACCCCCGUGGGGACCGA